AUUUUAUUAUGAUUAUAAUUUUAUAAAGGGUGUUUACAACCUCAUAAGUGCUUAAAACUAUUUAAUUAUUUAAAUUAGAGCAUAAAUUUUAUAAACUAUAAAGAGAACAAAUUAUAUUAUAUUUUUUGUAUACAAAGUGAAAAAUAAUGACUGGAAUUCUCAAGUUAUUCUAUAUCUUGUUUCUAUUUCUUUCCAUAUUUCUUAUAGCAAAGCAAGUUGGUGCUAACCGUAAGUAUUUUUUCACCCUCUUUAAAUAUACAUCUUUACUUUGUAGUUUGUUCAUAAUAUUUUAUUAUAUUUUUGUAAUUUUAUUUAACUAUCUCUUUUUAUUACAGAAGACUUCAUUGAAUGUGCAACUGAUGCUGAUUGUCCAAAAUCUUGGAAUGAAUAUUUAGCUAUUAAGUGUAUUAAUCAUGUAUGUAAGAUUGUUAGUAAUCUUCCUUAAUUUUAUAUUGUAUCAGACUCAGAAGAGUUCAAAAAUUCCCUAUAGAGGAAAAUGAAAUAUUGUGCUAGAAAAAUAAAUGCGUAAUAUAUCUUCUAACCUAAUGUUCCAUGAAUUGUCAUUUGAUUAUGGUAUGAGAACCUUAUAAUUUUUAUAUUUUUUUUUCUAAUUUUAUGAACCUUCCUUAGAAUAAACAAA
Molecule: long non-coding RNA, 640 nt
Filed under: Lathyrus oleraceus (garden pea)
Lineage: Eukaryota; Viridiplantae; Streptophyta; Magnoliopsida; Fabales; Fabaceae
Description: Pisum sativum (pea) long non-coding RNA (PSAT_LNC004082)
Source: RNAcentral